Molecule: ribosomal RNA, 480 nt
Filed under: Notopandalus magnoculus
Lineage: Eukaryota; Metazoa; Arthropoda; Malacostraca; Decapoda; Pandalidae
Description: partial 16S ribosomal RNA
Rfam family: Archaeal large subunit ribosomal RNA
Source: RNAcentral
GUCUGGCCUGCCCACUGAAGUUUAAAGGGCCGCGGUAUUUUGACCGUGCGAAGGUAGCAUAAUCAUUAGUCUUUUAAUUGUGGGCUGGAAUGAAUGGUCGGACAAGAAGUAAGCUGUCUUUUCUAUAAGUUUGGAAUUUUACUUUUAAGUGAAAAGGCUUAAAUUUUUUUAAGGGACGAUAAGACCCUGUAAAACUUCACAGCAAUAUAGGUAUUCUUAGGAUUGGCUUAAAAAUUUGUUUACUUUAUGGCUGUUUUGUUGGGGCGACAAAGAUAUAAGAGAUAUAUAACUGUUUAAUAAACGAAAUAAAAAUUUUUAGUUUAAUUGAUCCCUUUUUAAGGGUUAGAAGAUCAAGUUACUUCAGGGAUAACAGCGUAAUUUUUUCUGAGAGUUCUUAUCGAUGAAAUUAGUUGCGACCUCGAUGUUGAAUUAAAGUUUCUGUCAAAUGCAGCAGUUUGAUAAGAGGGUCUGUUCGACCUU